AUGCCUCACCGAGUGCAAAAAACCAACCGUUCGUCUGUAAAGAUUGCUGAUGGGGGAAUUCUUCAAUGUAACAGCAUGAUUCCUCGAUGCUCGUGGACAACGCAAGGGCAAGUGUUUGAAACCGACCUCCGGGUGUUAUCGUUGGGCUGCUAUGAUGUUGUUGUGGGCAUGGACUGGCUGCAGAGUUGUGGACCUAUGUGGAUCAACUGGGAGCAGAAGCGGUUGCAGUUUCAGCAUCAUGAGCAGUGGAUUGAGCUUGUCGGUGUGCAGCCUCAGUUACAACCAGUCGAACAGAUUUCAGCUGCUCAGCUGCAGGAAUUAGAGGAGCAACAUGCAGUGGCGCAUGUAGUUCUUCUGUGCAGUAUGACUGACGCCGUGAACAACCAGGAAUUAAGGGAGCAGCAUCCAGUAGUGACGGCAAUUCUCGAGGAGUUUCAGCAAGUGUUCACUGAACCAACCACCCUACCCAAACAUUGA
Molecule: ribosomal RNA, 477 nt
Filed under: Triticum aestivum (bread wheat)
Lineage: Eukaryota; Viridiplantae; Streptophyta; Magnoliopsida; Poales; Poaceae
Description: partial small subunit ribosomal RNA
Source: RNAcentral